This is a long non-coding RNA of Chrysemys picta bellii (western painted turtle), 1560 nucleotides long. NCBI's taxonomy places the organism in Eukaryota, Metazoa, Chordata, Testudines, Emydidae. The record is from Ensembl.
CCCUCAGGCCAGCGCGUGUGGCACUGAACCUGCUCCUCAUGCUGUGGGGCCACCCAUGUGCCGCUGAACUGACCCUGCACUGCCCUUUGCACCCAGUGGGGCCUAGGACAUGUACUCCUGGGGGGAUUCUGCACCACGACACACAUGCAGAAUUUAUGUCCCCCUCAUAGUUCUUUGCUUCCCCACAGAAAAAAAGACUUUGUGACAGGGAAGCAAAGGGGAGCCACAAGAGCGGUCACAUGACCCUCCCCAGCAGUAUGUCUCGGUCCCCAGGGCAGCCAGCAGAGAGGUUUCUGAAGCUGCUGCCUUCUCAGGUACUCUCUCAAUGGUGCCUGCAUGCUAUAUGGAAUCCUCACCCACUGCCUGGCUGCAGUCCACCCUCAGAGUUUGCUAUAGACCUAGUGAUGCAGAGUGCUGAAUGCCCUGGGUUCCCACUGACUAAGCAGAUGCUGGGGAAGCAACAGUUGGAGAAUGAGCCUGAGCCAAACAGGCUGGAAGAAUCCAAGCCUUUUCCAAAUACCACUCCACUACAUCAUCAGAUAGGAGAUACCUGCUUCUAGCAAAAGGCCUUCUAGUGUAUGUCACUGUGGACUUGGCUUUGUAUCUUUUUACGGCCAAACAGAAAGGAAACUCCACCUUGGUAAAUUUUUCAGCUCUCUUGGAAAACACCUUUUGGAUCCAAAGGAGACAAAGACGUAGAGCUAAUGAUGGCGGAGCCACAUAGGAAGGGCCAGAAUGGACGGAUCCCGGUCAGCGCUGUGACAUUAUGGGGAAGGCAGAGUCUGCAUGCUGGGGAGGGACUAUGCACCCCCAAUUCCCCAUGUCUGAAGGAAAAGAAAAGUCUGUGCAGCUGUAACACAGGUACUCUGGUUUCAUUUGCAAUGAGCUGUAUUGUUACUAUGUAUGCAGAGUCAUAACUAUGACUCCUGAACAUCUAUCAGGGAAAAGGUGAUGUCCCGGCUACAUCCCAAUGAAUACAAAAGCAGCGAGCAGGAUGUGAACGAAAGCCUUCCAUUGACAGGGCGUUUAGAUGAAAUCCUUGAAGUACAAUAUACUUACCAGGCAGGGUUAGAGCUCCAUUUGCCUGUCACUUGCUCAGCCUCUAGCAGAGGGAAGAUGUUCUCUCUCUCCCUGCUUGUUUACAGCUCUCAGAAACCGAGAGCAGUUUAGGUUAGGACAUAGGAUAGACGCUGCUCCCUUCUCCCCUUACGAAACUGCUUUCCACGUAGCUACAGCUAGGAGAGGGCACAUUCUCAGCUAGGGGGUUGGGCUACUGGUGCAGACGCUCUGGGAUGUAUGUAGCAAUCUGAGAUUUGGACAUACGAGGCCUGACCCAAAGGCCAGUGAAAUCACUGACGAGUUCUGUGGCCUUCGCAGCAGCUUAUGCCCACACAGGCAAAGCCGUUACAUCCCUCGAGUAAAACUAUAUUAUAGAUCAACAUCUUUCACCACAGAGCUGCCAAUGUAAACAAUGGACAAAAAGUUCUCUCAAUAGAGAAUCUUGGCUCCCAAAUUCCGGCCUCCCUACAGAAUCCCUCUUAUGUCAAUAGGAUAUUGUUG